This 42013-nucleotide long non-coding RNA is filed under the name Gossypium barbadense (sea-island cotton). Its description in RNAcentral is "long non-coding RNA (GBAR_LNC020323)". The record is from RNAcentral. Lineage: Eukaryota; Viridiplantae; Streptophyta; Magnoliopsida; Malvales; Malvaceae.
CACGAACAAGGCCUUCAUCAAACCUGAGAAGUCGAAGCACUGCUUGAGUGUGUUGAUUUUGCAGAGCCAAGUGCAUGGGGCUAAACCCAGCUUGGUUUAGCUUUCUUGCAAACGAUGGCUUUAAGUUGAUCAUCUCCAUCAUAAAAUCAAUAUGCCCUGCAGAGGCUGCUACAUGCAAAGGAGUAUGGAAAAAAGGUACAUCAUCGAUACGCUGAAAAACAUAUGGAUCAUUCAGAAUUAACUCAUACAAGAUGUUUAUGUCUCCUGUUUGUGCAGCACCUAUCAUCCUCUCAUCCAUAGCAAGGUGCGGAAAUUUGCAGAAUAUAGAAAUGGAGUGAAGAAAAAACGCUUUAGCAGACGAUGUGAUUAUGUUAAGGAUAUACUGAAGUGUUUUAUUAUUUUUUCCAGAUGGAGUGUGUGAUAUUUUAUAGCACUUAAUUAUUUUGGAUUUAUAUGUGAUGUCAGCCACUACACGUAUACAUGUGAAUGUCACCUAUUAGAAAGAAAUAGUAAUUAUAUUUAGUAAUUAAAUUCAUAUUUAAUAUAUAUUUUUAAUCUAAUUUUUUAACUCAAUUUAAUUUUAGUUAAAACGUUUAAAAACAUUUAUUUAAUUUAAUUUCUUUAAUAUAUUAAAUAAAUUGAAUUAGAGAAUAUAUUAAAUAUGGAUGAAUACUAUAUCAUACUAAUUUUAUGUCUCUAAAAAUUAAUAAGGUGUCAUUAUUUUAUUGGUGCUUAAAAAAUUAAAAUAUUUAGAAUCAUCCUAAUAUAAGUUAUUCUAUUAAUAAUAAUAUUUGGUACUUCCACGAGUAAGUUCAAUAGUUUGACAAAUGUCUUAUAAAAGUAUAGUAAAAUAUUAAAAAAAAUUAUUUAGUGACUUAAUUUUUUAAGAACAUUUGAUAAUUUAUAAAGAAAAUAAAUAAUAAUUUUUUUCAAUAAAAAAGUGUGAAAAAAUGAUAAGUAGAUAAUAACUAUUAUCACUUACAACAUGUUUGGAUUAAAAAGAUAGAAAAAAGGAGGGAAAAUUAAGUAAAAUGAGGGAAAGAAAAUUCGGUUUCUUUGUUUAAGUUAAGUAAAUAUCGUAUCAUUAGAUUUUAUAUUUUAGGGUCUGUUUGAUUGAAGGAAUUGAUUUUCCGAAAAAUCAUUUUUAACUUUUCCAGCGUUUGAUUGGCGGAAAAUAUUUUCCAUUUGGAAAAUGAACUCCAAAACAUGGAAAAAUGGGUUACAUUUUAGGGAAAAUGUCUUACCCUUUCAAUUUCCGUAAGACAUUUUCCGUGCUCUCCUCUCUAUCUCCUCCUUCAUUCCUUCCUUCAUUUCCGGUAAAAAAUUGUUACUGUUUAUCGAUUUUCUAGUAACUUGUUUUUUUAAUUAUUCAAUACUUAUUUUUUUAACACAAUUACAAAUAAUUUAUUUGAUACUAAUUUUUUUCAAUUUAUAAUGAUUAAUAUUGUAGCUUAAUAAUUGAGUAUUAUUAUAAAUAAAUCAUUGCAAUAUAUGUAAAAAUAAUUUAAAAUAUAAAAAUUUAUUAAUAUAUAUCAAUAUAUGUAAAAACAAUUUUUUCAAAAAAUAUUUACCAGAAAUCUGCCAAACAGCCGAAAAUAUUUUACACAGAUUCAAUCAAACACCAGAAAAUAUUUUCCAGUAAAUCAUUUUACAGAAAAGUAAAAUAUUUUCCCGAAAUCAAUUUACGGAAAAUAUUUUACUGGCAAUCAAACAGACCCUUAGAUUAUUAUCUCUUCUUCUUCUUCUUUUAACUUGUAACCAUCUUAUUUUUAUUUUCUAUUUGUUUAGGUUACUAGAAAUAUUUAAUUUUAAAUUUGUUUGAUAUAUAUUUUUAAAAAUUUUAACAAUAUUUUUUAUUAACUAUUUUGUUAAAUUAUUAGGAAUCCUUCAUUUGUAAUUUGGUUAAGAUAUAUUUUUUAGUUUGAUCAAAUAAGCUUAUUUAAAAAAAAAAGAGAGAAUAUACCAAUAUAUUAUUGGUUAACAUUUUAAUUAUUAUUUUAUAUAGACUAUUGAUAUUGUUCUAUAAUUUUAAUUUGCUGUGAUUUAAUUUUGUUAUUAUAUAUUAUUUAUGAACUGUUAAAAUUAAAAAAUAAAAGUAAAAUAAUUCAUUUUCUUUCCUUUUCACAGUUUAGCAAAACAAGUCCACAAGGUCGCCCCAUUCAACAAAAAUUAAAUUGUUUAAAUAUAUAUAUGUAUAUAGGGACUAGUUUUAACAAAUAAAAAAUAUAGAAAAACUACAUUAAAAAAAUAGAGAAUGGAGGAAAACAGAGGGAGAAGCAGAAGACAAUAAAAAAUAAAGGAAAGUUAAAAGAACAUAAAAAAAUUAAAUUGAAUUGCUCAAAACGAAAAAAAUAUGGGGAUCAGUUGUAUAAAUCACCCUAAAUUUUUUGUUUGAAAGAUGAUUUAACAUGUCACAUCAGCUUAUCGUUAUAUGGUUAACGGAAAUUAACAGCUCAGUGACUAAAAUGUUACAACGCGAUAACGUAAGUGACUAAAAUGUAACAUUUCAAACAUAAAUGACUAAAAUGUAAGCAAAAGUGACUAUUUUAAUAAUUUACCCUUACAUUUAUCCAAACAUACGCUUAAUGUAAACAUUUUUCAAUUAUUUUUAUUUUAUUUUAUUUUUAACCAUUAUCCUUUAUCCUUACUUUAAAAAGUAUAAUUAAUAAAUAGUAUAAUUAUUUUUCAAAAUUAAUUUUAAGUAAUACACCAAAUAGAUUUUAUAACUUAAAUUUAAUAUUUAAGUUUAUAAUAUUUUUUUAUCAAACAACAUUUACUCCUAAGUAAAUAAAUAAAUAAAGGCCUUGUGUAAUUAAGAAAGUUGAGAAAGGGUUAAUCCUCACAUGGAAAAAAUUGGCUACAAUAAUGAAGGAAAGAGAAAAACACUAAGGAAUAUCCAAUAAUUGGGAGGCAAUAUGUCAAUUAUGAGCAUACCCCAUACUGUCAAUGGUGAUGGAUGAAUUGUCUACUAUACAUGGAUUUUGUUUUCCUUUUUUUUUUCCUUUUUUUGUUCUUGUCCUGUAUUAUUUGGAUUUGAGAUCCCAAGCUAUGUAUGUCAUCACAUUUUAAAUAUAUAUAUAUUUAUUAUGUAUUGAGUAUCAGUUUUAUUGGUAUAAAUAUUAUUGUUAAUGUAUGAGAAUAUAGAUUCAAGUGUGCACUACACCAAAACAGGCUUUUAACGGCACUUUUAGCGGCGUUUUGAGCGAAGACGCUGCUAAAAAUCGAAAAAUAGCAGCGUUUUAGGAAAAGCGCCGCUAAAGAGUGAGCAUUAGCGGCGUUUAUAAAAAAUGCCGCAAAUAAUACACCCAAACAGUGCCGUUUUAUGUCCUUUCGGGGGAAUUAGUGGCGUUUUUUGUAAAGCGCCGCUAAGGCUAAGACUUUUAGUGGUGUUUUUUGAAAAUCGUCGCUAAUCUAGGUGUUUUAGCGGCGUUUUUUGUUUAUGCGCCGCAAAAAUAAUUUAUCUUAAUUGAACUAUUAUUUAUAUUGUUUAAAUCAAAUUAAACAUAUUUCUAAUAGAAUAUUUAAAAUCUUCAAUAAAAAAUAACAAGUAUAAAUAAUUCGAAAUAAAACACAUGGAAAAAUUAAAAUAGUAUUAUUUAAAAUAAUUUUAAAGUUUGUUGGGUACAUUACUGAUUGUUUUUUAAUUUAUAUAUUAAAAAUUUGAAAUUAUUAUCGUAAUUAAAAGAGAUAGUAUUAAUUUAAAUUUAAAAUAUUGAAUUAAGCGUAUCACUAUAGUUAAUAUAGGGUUUUAGGUUUUAGGGGUAUAUAUAUAUGAUAUUAUUAAUUUAAGAUUUUAAGUCGGUUUAGGGGUUACUAUUUUAAGGUUAUUAUUAUAAUUGAUCAGGAGUAUAUAUAUAAUAUUUGAUUUAAGGAUAUGGUUUAAGGGCUGAGAUAUAAUGUUUAGGGGUUAGGGUUGGGGUUAGCACUUAAGGGUUAUUAAUUAGGAGUUAAUUAAGGAUUUAGGGUUUAGCUAGGGGUUGGGUUAGGGAACGUAGGGUUUUAGAUUAAUUAGUAUUGCCAAAUUAUAUAUUAAAUAUGUUCUUAUAUAUAUAAUUGUAAAAGAGGUAAUAAUAAAUUUGUUUAGGAUUUUUCGGUUCGGUAUAUGAUUUGGUUUCGGUAUAUUAUUAAUUUAAAUACGAAUUUGAAUAGUAAUGCUCAAAUAUAUAAUUCAUGAAUAACACUUAAAUACUUAAAUAAAUUUGUGAAUUUGAAUUGAAAUCAUCCAAAAAUAUGCAUAUACCUGAGUCGGUAUCUUUCCUAUUUUGAUCACUUCAAUAAAAAAAAUCCCAUAUAUAUAUAUAUUUAGUACUCCUUAAUUAUUUGUUUUCAUUAAUUUAUCUAUUUGAUGAAGGUCAAUAUAAUAAAUUAGUUAAUUAGACAAAUUUAUUCAUUUAUCAAUAAAAUAAAAUAUUAUAAAUUUCAAAUUUUAUACAAAAAUAAAUAAAUAUUAUAAAGAUAAUAUUGUUUAUUGCUACUUUAUACAAAAAGUUUUUAGUAUUAAUUAUUCUUUAAUCAAUUAUAACUAUUUUAUGAUAUUUAUUAAAGAUUUAGGGAUUAUUUUGGAUGGCCGUGCUAUUUUAAAGAUUAGGGGUACAGAUUUAGGGUUUGGGAUAUAAGAGUUAUCUAGGGGUUUAGGGGUUACAAGUUACAAUUUAGGGGUUAAAGAUUUAGGGUUUAGGGGUUUAGGGGUCGGAUAAGGAUUUUAGGUUAGUUUAGAUUAAUUUCUUUAAAUAAUAUUUUAAAAAAUCAAUCUAAAGUAUCAAUUGAUAUAUUUAAAUAUUAUUUUAAAUAGAAUUCAUAAAUAAGUUAAAAAUAUAUAUUGAUAUAUAUUAUAUGGAUAUGGUUAUAUAUUUAGGUAUAAUUAUUUAUUUUGGAAAUAUAUAUAUAUAGGACCAAAUACAUAAGAAAUGAAGUAAAAAAAACAAAAAAUUUCAAAACGGCGCCAUUUUUGAAUGAAUAGUUAAACUUUUAGUGGCGUUUUAACUGUUAAACGCCGCAAAUAUGGGAAAGCAGUCAUGGCGUUUGUACAAGAAACGCCGCAAAAGUGUCUUUAAAAUUGAGUAAACGACACCGUUUGUCUACACGAUUUUUAACUUAUAAAAAGUUUAGAAUUAUUUACUUGAAACGUCACCAUUUGGCUUGUUGUACGUUAAGUAUUAGUGGCGUUUUUACAAAAACGCCACAAAAUGUACAAUUUGAGAACAAAAAAACAGCGUCGUUUCUGCAUACAGGUUUAAAUUUUUAUGGCGUUUUCGCAAAAACGCAGGAAAUUUAGGAAGCAAUAGCGGCGUUUUUCAGUAAACGCCGAAAAGGGUAUUAAAAUAAUGUCUAAACGGCGCCGUUUCUGUACAUGAUUUGUAACUUAGAAAAAUUUUAGAAUUAUUUAUUCAAAACAUCAAUUAAGUAUUCGUGGCAUUUUUACACAAAACGCAACUAAUAAUACAAUUUGAGACUAGCAAAACGGCGCCAUUUCUGUUUAAAACUUGAACUUUUAGUGGCGAUUUUAUAUCAAACGCCGCAAAUGGGUUUUAAAAAAAUGGGUAAACGACGUCGUUUCUAUACAGUAUAUUUUACUUUGACAAAUUUUAGUGGCAUUUGUGCUUAAAACGCCAGAAAUAAUGCAAUUCCAGACCACGAAAACGGUGUCGUUUCUGUUCACAGCUGUAAUACGUAGUGGCGUUUUUAGGAAAACGCCGGAAAUGUGGAAGAAGUUGCGGCGUUUGUACCUAAAACGCCGCAAAACGGUGUUAAUAUAAUGGCUAAACGACAUCGUUUCCGUAACCGAUUUUUAACUUAUAAAAAUCUUAGAAUAAUAUAUUUAAAACGUCACCGUUUGGCUUAAAAUAGAUUAAGCAUACAGGUUUAAAUUUUUAUGGCAUUUUCGUAAAAACACAGGAAAUUUAGGAAGCAAUAGCGGCGUUUUUCAGUAAACGCCGCAAAAGGGUAUUAAAAUAAUGUCUAAACGGCGCCGUUUCUGUACAUGAUUUGUAACUUAGAAAAAUUUUAGAAUUAUUUAUUCAAAACAUCAAUUAAGUAUUCAUGGCGUUUUUACACAAAACGUAACUAAUAAUACAAUUUGAGACUAGCAAAACGGCGCCAUUUCUGUUUAAAACUUGAACUUUUAGUGGCGAUUUUAUAUCAAACGCCGCAAAUGGGUUUUAAAAAAAUGGGUAAACGGCGUCGUUUCUGUACAGUAUAUUUUACUUUGACAAAUUUUAGUGGCAUUUGUGCUUAAAACGCCAGAAAUAAUGCAAUUCCAGACCACGAAAACGGUGUCGUUUCUAUUCACAGCUGUAAUAUGAAGUGGCGUUUUUAGGAAAACGCCGGAAAUAUGGAAGAAGUUGCGGCGUUUGUACCUAAAACGCCGCAAAACGAUGUUAAUAUAAUGGCUAAACGACAUCAUUUCCGUAACCGAUUUUUAACUUAUAAAAAUCUUAGAAUAAUAUAUUUAAAACGUCACCGUUUGGCUUAAAAUAGAUUAAGUAUAAGUGGCGGUUUUUAUUAAAUGCCACAAAAAAUGAAAUUUCAGAGUAACAGAACGGCGCCGUUUCUGUUAAAAGGUUUACUUUUUUGUGGCGUUUGGUCUAUAAACACCAGAAAUUUGGAAUAAGUAGUGGCAUUUUUUCAAGAAACGCCGCAAAGGUGUUUUAAUAUUUUUUCUCAACGAUGUCGUUUCCGCAGAUGUUCUUUAACUUAGCAUUUACACUCGACAAAGCACAGAAAGCAAAAGCCAAGUGCAGAGGCCGAUUGGGAAGGGGAAAAAACCUAAGAAAAAAAUCUAAGGAAGAGAGGGGAGGAGAAAUCAGAAAUCAUCAAAGAGGAAGCAACGAUUGCGUCAUUCUUGACAGUAGUUGCAGAAUUUCUGGUUAAAAGGUAUGCGUUUAAUCCUUCUGAAGAACAUCGUCUUGAUUUAGGGUAAUUUUAGGUGCAUUGUGUUUUGCGAAUUUGGGGUUUAGGAAAAAAAUUUAGAUUUUGAGGUUUGCGGUUUAGGUUAAAACACCAUUCUUGUUUGGGAAUUUGGGGAACUUGUAAAUUAUUUAUUUAGCAAUUUAAAUAGAAGGGUUUAUUUAGGAAAAUUUUGUGUAUUUAGGGGUUGCCUGAAUACAAAUAUGGGUCCUCAACACAGCCUGUUGUUUCUCCAUUACAGCGAUUUUUGGAGAAGCAUAAAAGGGUAAGGACAGCCCUUCUGGUUGUGGUAGUAUUUGGUGCUUCUAUGGUCAUCUUUAUGGCUGUGGAUUCUAGAGUUUAAUCUCGGUUCCUCUUAAACAUAUGUGGCAACUAGGACAAUAAACAAAACUAUUAAUCAUGACAGUAUAUAUGAUUGUGGAUGGUGCUGGUGAGCUUGAAAAUACAUUCCCUUUAAUAGCUCUACUAAUAUUUUGCAUAUGGACUAGACAAGAGAUACCAAUAAAUAACUCGUCUGGUCUUACACCUGAAAGACUCAAAUUAACACAGAUUUAAACCCAAGCUAGCUGGUGAAGGUUAAACAAACCAUUUUCCUAAAAUUUUCUUGGCUGAGCCAUUAUUCGGACCAUGCAAUCAUUGUUGCAAUAGUGCAUAAUUAUGUUUGAUUCGUUUAGUGUGCUUAUUUCUCAGCUGGACAUAGUUGAUCUCCCAUGACAGAGUUAUGGAUAAUGAUAUCAGAAGUUCUUUAAUGAACAUAGUGGUGUCAUCGUAACUUCCACAUUACUUUGAUAACUUUAAUUGGUUGCAUUAUUCCUCCUAUCUAUAGUAUAUUGUUUGUGGUGGAUGGUUUGACAUGUCUCAGUGCUGAUAUUUCAUUAUUCAAAUAAGAUUUUUAAUUUUGGAUUUUGUUAUAUUUAAGCUUUAUACUAAUUUUUUCCUAGUACUAACUUACUUAUGUUUUCCUUUUUAUUUUUAUUUUUUGCAGUAGUUUGCUUCGAAGUCCAGGAAAUUGAGGUAUUUAUUCCUAUGUUUCCCACCUUGGUUUUCUUAAAAAAACACCUCCAAAUGUUUAAAUUUUGGAUUUUGUUAUAUUUUAUCUAUGUACUUUAAUUAUUAUUUUUGAGUUUUAAAAGGGAGUUUUAAUUAAGAAUUUUUUUUUAAGUUGUGGGUAUCGGUUUUAAUUAUCAUUUUUGAUUUAUAUGUUGCUAGCUCAAUUUGCAUGUUACUUUGCCAAAUUUUUCCAUAACUGCAAGGUAUAAAUUAUGAUUGUAAAUCUUGUACGUAUUUUUUACCCAAGCAAAAACAAUUACGCAAAUUAUUAAAAUUCUUAAAUCACUUUAUAUAUUGGAGUAAGUGAAUAAAUUAUGGGCGAAUAGUGGAUUUGUUUUAAAGUGAACAAAUUAUCGAUUUUCAAUUUUAUGCCAAUUAAUAAAUUAUCGACGUUAGUUCUCAUUUAUGCGAUUGAAUGUUAAUGUUUAAUAAUAUAUGAUUAUUCAAUAAAUUGAUCGAUUAAUUGAUUGAAUGUCAAUGAAUUAUCAAUUUUUGUAAGUUAAUUUGGUUAAAUUUAUUACUUAAAUACAUUACUUACUAAAAUACAUUACUUACUAAAAUUUGUUUAAAUUUAUUACUUAAAUAUGUUACUUAAAUACAUUACUUACUAAAAUUUAAGUAUAUAUUACAUUACUUACAUAACUUGUUAAAAUAUAUUAUAAUUUUAAAAAUAAUUAUAAUUAAGAUACAUAAAAGUGCUAUACUUACAUCAUACAUUAUUUACACAACCAAAAAUUGAAAUUUACAAGAACUUACAUAACUUGUUAAUAUUUAUAUAAACUUACAUAACUAUCACAUAAACUUACAUAAUAUAUAACUUACAUGUUACCUUACAUAAUACAUAACUUAUAUAAAAUUUUUAUAUAAACUUACAUAAUACAUUAUUUACAUAUUAACUUACAUAAGUUAUCUACAAGCUUGUGGUUAAACUUGCAUAACUUACAUAAUAACAUAACAACUUACAUAAUAUAUAACUUACAUGUUACCUUACAUAAUACAUAACUUAUAUAAAAUUUUUAUAUAAACUUACAUAAUACAUUAUUUACAUAUUAACUUACAUAAGUUAUCUACAAGCUUGUGGUUAAACUGGCAUAACUUACAUAAUAACAUAACAACUUACAUAAUACAUAGCAUAGAUAACUUACAUAACUUACAUAAUACAAAACUUACAUAACUUAAAUAUCUUACACAACUUACAUAACGUACAUAAUACAUAACUUACAUAAUACAUAAUAACUUAUAACUUACAUAACAUACAUUACUUUGAUAACUUACAUAACUUACAUAAUACACAACUUGUUAAGCUUACUUAAUACAUAACUUACAUAAUACAUAAUAACUUAUAACUUACAUAACAUACAUUACUUUGAUAACUUACAUAACUUACAUAAUACACAACUUGUUAAGCUUACUUAAUACAUAACUUACAUAACUUAUACACGUACAUAACUUACAUAAUUUACUUAAUACAUAAAUAUAUAUCAUAUGAUAUACUUACAUAACUCAUUUAUACUUACCACUCAACAACUUACCCUUGUAAUUUCUGGUGAAAAUCAGACGUCAAGAAAUAAGAAAUGGACCGGUCUUGGAUGAAUUUAUCAAGGGUAAGCGACGAUUAUCGAAAUGGAGUACAGACUUUUCUAAAUUUUGCAUUUCAAUAUGCAAGCCAGGAGAACAUGAUUCUUUGCCCGUGUAAGAAGUGUGUCAACAUAAACUGGCAUUAUCGUGAAGUUGUAUACGAGCAUCUAAUUGUUGAUGGGUUUGUUCAGGGUUAUAAACAAUGGUUUUUUCAUGGAGAAUGCCCGCCUAGUACUUCCUCAUCAAGGAUGGAUGUAUCUUAUGACAGUACUACUUACCAUCAGUCUGUUAGAGGGGAUGACAUAGAAGGGAUGUUGCGGGAAGCAUUUAAUAUUCACAACCAUGGUUUACAGUCGUUCCCAGCCGACUUUGUGGCACCUGAUGAUUGUAAUAUCGAUGGAAAUGCUUUUACCGAACCCGGAAAAAGUGUACAUCAUGAAGAGCCGAAUGGAGAAGUGGCGAAGUUCUACGCGCUACUUAAUGACAUGAAUGAAGAACUGUUUGAGGGAUCAAAAUUCUCGAAAUUGUCUUUCUGUAUUCGUCUUUUUCAGUUAAAGUGUUUGGGAGGGUGGACCGGGAACUCUUUAACAAUGUUGUUAGAGUUUCUGAGAGAGAUGUUUCCGUUUGCAAAAAUCCCUCAAUCAUGCAAAGAUAUGAAGAAAAUGAUAAAAAAUUUAGGUCUUGGGUACAACAAAAUCCAUAGUUGCCCGAAUGACUGCAUGUUGUAUUGGGGCGAUCGAAGAAACCAGCAAUGCUGUCACAUAUGCGGCCAAUCACGUUGGAUAAAUAGAAACAUAGAAGAUGGGAACGAUGAUGAAUAUGAUGCACUGGUAAGAAAGAAGCCGGUCAAGAUUUUGCGGUAUUUUCCGCUCAUACCAAGGCUUCAAAGGCUUUUCAUGUCAUCGAAGACAGCGGAGUCUAUGACAUGGCACCAUGAUGGACGAACCGAUGAUGGGAAUAUGAGGCAUUCGGCAGAUUCUUUAGCUUGGAAAUCAUUUGACAAUAAAUUUCCAAGCUUUGCAAGUGAUCCUAGGAGUGUAAGGCUUGGCUUAGCAUCUGAUGGAUUUAAUCCGUACAAGAUCAUGAGUAUUGUGUACAGUACUUGGCCAGUAGUGCUUGUUCCUUACAAUCUGCCUCCGUGGAUUUGCAUGAAGCAAUCUUCCCUUAUCUUAUCUAUGAUUAUCCCUGGAGAGAAAGGGCCCGGGAAUGAUAUCGACAUUUAUUUACAGCCACUUAUUGAAGAGUUAAAACAAUUGUGGGCUGGUGUCGAGACAUACGAUGUGCUGAGAAAUGAGAACUUUAAUCUACGUGCAGCUUUGAUGUGGACCAUUAAUGACUUUCCCCCUUAUGCCAAUUUAUUCGGUUGGAGUACAAAGGGUCGUUAUGCGUGUCCUUGUUGUGCUGCACAAACAUGUUCGCAAUGGUUGUACAAUGGGAAGAAGUUCUCUUAUAUGGGGCAUCGUCGGUGGUUACCGAAAAAUCAUAGAUUUAGAUUUCAGAGUUCUGUAUUUAACGGUACUGAAGAGUUCAGAGAAGCUCCUUCGCAGACCAGUGGCUCUGAAAUCUUGUUCAUGUUGGAAGAUAUGAAUUUCAUUUAUGGAAAGAUGAACCAACCGCCAAACACGCAAAGAAAUAGAAGAUCAAACGAUGAAGCUGAUGAUGACUCUGAUGAAGAGGACGAUCCUAAUGAGGCGGACUUGUGGAAAAAAAGAAGUAUUUUUUUUGAGUUGCCUUAUUGGGAGCAUCACCUUUUACGACAUAAUCUUGAUGUUAUGCAGAUUGAGAAAAAUGUCUGCGAGAACAUUGUGGGUACAAUUUUGAAUGUCGACGGAAAAUCAAAAGACAAUCUUCAGAGUCGACUUGAUUUAGUACAAAUAGGAAUCCGACCUGAUCUUCAUCCCAAUCCACUUCCGAAUGGAAAAUAUCGGUUGCCGCCAUCUAUUUUUUCAAUGUCGAAGACGGAAAAAGAAGUGUUCUGCACAGUGUUGAAGGAUAUAAAGGUUCCAGAUGCGUAUGCAUCAAAUAUAUCUCGAUGUGUUAGUGUUAAAGAUCGAAGAUUAUAUUCGCUAAAAUCACAUGACUAUCACAUCUUGAUGCAAGAUUUACUGCCAGUGGCUCUACGAUGUUGUAUGUCCAAGAAGGUGACGUCUUGUAUAAUUGAACUAUCCAACAUAAUGAAAGCCAUUUGUGGCAAAGUUUUGGAUGUUCAAGAACUUCAGAAGGUACAGGAUCGAGCCGCUUUGACUUUAUGCAACAUGGAGAAAAUAUUCCCACCUUCCUUCUUCACCAUUAUGGUUCACUUGAUAAUCCAUCUCCCGCACAAAGCAAUUCUUGGCGGACCCGUUUUCUAUCGAUGGAUGUAUCCCAUAGAAAGGUGUUAAUUAAAAUUUUUAAAAUUUUCCUUCAUUCACCUCUAUGCCUUUAGUUUCAAUAAUUAAGAAAUGUUAUAUAUUGUGUUUAGGUUUCUAUCCAAAUUAAAGUCUUACUGCCGCAACAAGCGAUAUCCAAAAGGAUCAAUUGCAGAAGGCUACUUGGCAGAAGAAUGUAUGACCUUCUGCUCAAGAUAUUUGGAAGAUGUUGAAACAAGGUUAAACAGACCAAAUAGGAAUGCUGGACUCACGGACCAUAACUUAGCCGAUACUUAUUUGUUCCAAAGUUUUGGAAAACCAAUCGGUAAAGUUGAAAUUGCAGAAUUAGAUCAUUUAUCGUGGGUACAAGCACAUCGAUAUGUUCUGUUUCACCACGAAUCAUUGGAACCUUUACGGAAGUAAGUUCUACAAAUUUGAUAAAUAUUUAUCAAACUAAUAACUGUUUAUCUUCUAACAAAGUGAACAUUUUUUUAACAUAGUGAGUACAAACAAAUAUUGAGAUCUCGUUCGCGCUCCCGAAGAACACAACAUCGAGAUAUCAAUAAGUUAUUUAUAGAAUCUUUUUAUGAAUGGUUAAGCCAAACGGUAUGCAGUUCGAGCUUCCGUUUACAAAUAAUAAAAUCCGUUUUCUUAUAACAUUUUUAAUUACUCAGUUUACUUUCCAUUCAAUAGGUUUGGAGUGGGAAGAACGUAAAGACGAAGUUAAAUGGCUCUCCCAAGGUCCAAAUCGAGUGGUUAAAAGAUAUAGUGCGUUCCUCAUCAACGGAUUCAGAUUUCAUACAAAAUAUCGCGAGAGGUUGAGGAGAACGCAAAAUUGUGGAAUAGUUGUCAAUUCUGCAAUUACAAGUUAUGCUAGUGCAAGAGACAAUAAUCCUGUCGCGGGAAAUGUGGAAUAUUUCAGACAUCUUACUGACAUAAUUGAGUUGGAUUACUACGGCAAAUGGAAAGUUGUCUUAUUUCGUGGUGAUUGGGCCGAUGUUAAUACAGCUCGUGGAAUUAAGCAAGAUCAAUUUGGUUUUACAAUGGUGAACUUUGACCGAUUGAUUCACACAGGACAACAACUGAUAGAUGAGCCGUAUGUAUUCUCAUCUCAAGUCAAACAAGUUUUUUACUCAAAAGAUCCAACUGAUGAGAGUUGGUACGUUGUACUCCGUAACAUCCCAAGAGACUUGUUUGACAUGGGCAGUGGAAGUAGAGAUAACAUCGACGACAGAUCAGAAACUUUGCCCUUUCCAGAACAAAACUUAAACGAUAAUAUCCCUAGUACUAGUGCACAAUUUCAAUGUGUUCGUCAGGAUACCGAUGAAGAUAUUUACGAAUAAUGAUGUAGUAAGAUUUUACGAUUGUUUAAUUAUAAGUUUUUUUUCAUAAUUUAAAUAUUGGUCUUAUUAUAUAUUUCAACUGUUUUAUAUGUGAUGUUAUUGUUGUAAUUAGUUAUUAAGUUGUCAACUAUUUUAUGUGUAUUGUAGAUAAAAUGCCUAGAAGAAAAAUUCUAAGGGGAAGCAUUGUUCAAAAUGAUCCAAACACGAUAGAAACAAAUAGUACUGAACAACAGACAGCAAUUGGAUCUUCGAAUGUUCCGAUUACAGCUGAUGAUCCUACAGAAGUUCAAAGUAAUUUUACAUUUAAUUUACAUGCGUGUUGACUUAUAGUUGCUUUUUUUCAAAUUCUUAUAUUAUAAUAUACCAUUUGUAGCUGAAAAUGGUGGGACGCGCAGAGGUCGAGGACGUACGCUACUUAGAGAGUUAUACGAGUUAGAUCCAGUCGAGCGUGUCAAAGUUGGACGAAACAGUUUUGGUCAGCCUGUUAGAUCAGAAGCUCGACUUUUAGCAGGAUACAUGGGCAUUUUAGCACGAAAUCCGAAUAUGUUACCUAUCAACUACGACUCAUGGCAUCAAAUGCCCGGUAGCAAAAAAAACCAAGCCGUCGAUAAUAUUAAGGUAACAAAAUGUUAAUGUCAUCUGUAAUGCUUGGGAAAUAGUUUCAUUUAUAUUUACUUUAUUAACUUGUGUUUUUUGUUUUUUGUAGACGAGGUUUGCUUUAGAGGUCUCGGAUGCUUAUGUAAAGAAGGCAUUGGGAAAAAGAUGGAGAGACAAUAAAAGUACUUUGAAGAGAAAUUAUUAUAAGACAAAAACAACCCUCGAUGAGAAAUUGCAAAAUGUCCCGCCGGGUAUGUUGAGGUACCAAUGGGAAGAUACGGUUAGAUUUUGGCAUUCGAAGAAAGGCGAGGUAUGACGUACUUCCAAACUAUUGUAAUUAUUUUGGUAAAUAGUAUUUUCUAUUUACGUACUAAAAAGUUCAUAACGUAGGAUCGUGAACAAGUUGGAAAAAGUAGCAGGCAGAAACAAAAAUUCACCCACACAGCCGGGUCGAGAAGUUUUACAUGUGUAGCUGAGGCGGAGGUAUUUUUAAUUUUUUAAUAUUGUCGAAUAUGUAUAACUUUCUAUUAAAUAAUAUUUUUACUACUAUAUUGUAAGAACUGUCGUUCGGUCAAAAAGUUGGACGCCUUCAACUUUUUGAAAUUACACAUAGGAAGAAAGAUGGAUCUCCCAUGACUCCUGAAGCUGGUGAAAUAAUGAUACGUUUACUUAAUACGAUUUGACUUGUUUUAGUUAUUUAUAGUGUUUAUUUUCUAAUGGUUUAAUUCAUUGCUUGUAAUGCGACUAUUGUUAUGUUGCAUAUGUUUUUUAAUAUAUAAUAUUGCGUUCCUAACUAUGUGAUUUAUUUAUUAGGAAAAACUAAAGGAUAAAAAGGUUGAGUACGAAGCGAUUGCUUCUAGUGAUAGUUCUGUUCAUCUUGAAAACAUUGAUAAUCGGAUUAUUACUGAAGUUUUGGGUCCUAAAAGGUAUGGUCAGGUUCGAUUUCAAGGAUCUUUUGUUAGCCCAACCCAAUAUUUUGGAUCCAGCUCCCACCAAUACAUGGCUUUAGGGAGUCAGGCUCAAGCUGAAGUUCAGAGGUUAAAAGACCAGAUCGCUCAGAUGCAAGCGACCACAGUUGAGGUUCAAAGGAAAUAUGAAGAACUCCAGCUACAACUUAAAGCAGAGGCGGCAGCGAGGGAAGCAGCGGCUGCAGCGAGGGAAGCAGAGGCUGCAGCGAGAGAAGCAGAGCAGACCAAAAAGUACGACGAACUCCAGCAACAGCUUCAGAUUAUGAUGAAGAUGUUUCAGUCGCAACUUCCGCCUUCAUAGUGUAUGGCAUAAAUAUUUUUAUCAUUUUAACAUUUAACAUUUUUGCAAAAUAAUAUGAAUUCACUUUUAUUUAUUGAUAUUAAUAUUAUUUUAUUCGUUUAAUUUGAAAUAUUAUAUAAAUUUAUUGCUUUUGGCUGUUUUAGAUCUGGUUGCUUUUGAUUUGUUGUUACAGGAGGGCUGAAAAAAUGAAAAAUUUAAUAAAAAAAUCCCAAAAAUAGUGGCGUUUUUGUAUAAAAACGCCGCUAAAGAACAUGGUCUUUAGUGGCGUUUUUACCAAAGCGCCCCUAAAGAACAUGGUCUUUAGUGGCGUUUUUUACUAAGCGCCGCUAAAGAACAUGGUCUUUAGCGGCGUUUUUUUGUAAACGCUGCAAAUGUUUGCGAUGUUUUCCUUAGUGGCAUUUUUUGCGGCGCUUGUGGAAGCGCCGCAAAUACCUUUAGUGGCGUUAAAAAGCGCCGCUAAAGGCCUAAAAAAAUGCCGCUAAAGACUUGUUUUGGUGUAGUGGUGUUAAAACGCAUUAUCCUCUUAUUUAUGAAUUAGGAAGUAGUUAUUGGUAGUUCUAGACAUUGCGUAGAAAAUAAUAGAUAUGAUGAGAAUCUAUAUUGAAACUUUUCGAAAAAAUAUAUUUAUUACACAUGAACUAAAAGAAAUUUCUUUAUGGGUAGUUCAAGAAUAUUGUUGAAGCUAUAAAAUAAAAAUUCAAUUGGAUAAUAGAAAUCUCUUUUGUUUAACAAAAUAUUAAUCAUUGAUUGAGUUAAUAUUAUGAGUCAAUCGGACACCAAUUUAAUUAAGAAAUUACGAAAAUAUCAUUCCAUAAUUAAAAUAAAUUAUAUUAUUUGAGGAUAUUUUAAUAUUUUUAUGUCAAAAAAAUCAAUAAAAAUAUAUAUUUAUUUUUCACAAAUAUAUUAUUCUAUCAAUUUUCAUCAACCAAAAAAAAAGUAAUUAAAGUAAAAUUUACCUUUGAUAUACCAGAUGAUUUCAAAGAGAAUGAUUAUAUCAAUGAGUUUAACAAUUAAAAAAUAUAUUUUUUUCAAAGAUUUUAUAAUAUAAAAAAUUUUAAAAAUUUUAUAUAAAAAUUAAAUAAAUAUUUUAAAUGAUAUUUGGACCAAUUUUAAUAAUUAGUUUAUAAUUUAGAGUUGUAGAUAAUAUGGCUGAUAUAUAUAAUGUCUUGGUCAAGUCAUGGUUUUAUAUAUGUUUAUUUGUGAGCCCUACACUCGCAUCAAAUUUAGAUAUCACAAACAUGAUUUAAAACAUUACUAGCUGUGAGCAAUUUAAAGAAAUUUAAUUUCUUUUUUACAAUUUUAAGUUAAUCAAUUAUUUGAUUUUUUUAGGGGCGAAUUCAGAAAAGUUUUUUAGAGGCCGAAAUGAAUUUUUAAUUUUUAAUAGUCUAUAUCUUUAUAUUUUUAAAGGAUUAAAUUAAAAUUUUAUAAUUUUAAGGGGGGCAAAAUGUAAUUUUAUCUCUACUAAUUUAAAACUUUAAGAUUUUUUAAAGGACCUAAAUAAUAAUUUUUCAUUUUAAGGGGGCCGGGGCCCCUACCAACCCUUUAGAUUUGCCUCUGAUAUAUAUAUAUUAUUUAUGUUUUGUAACUCAAAAUUUAGUCAUAUUAUCAAUAAUAUUUUAAUAUGAAAAAUUUACUUUUUAAAAAAAACUUAUUUAACUUGUCUCAAUUAAAUUAAAAAAAUUAAAAUCAAAUUAGAAUAAUAAAAUAAUACCUAUUUACGCGAUUGAAUCUAAUACUCACCUCUCAAUAUUACACCUUUUGAAUCUUCCUAGAUCAUAAAAGGAGAAGUUAUCCUUGGCGUGUGUGUUUUAGUGCUCCUUAUUUCCUUUAAAAACAAAGUUUAUUUAUUCCUUUUUUAUAGAAAUGAAUUGAUAUUUAAACUGCAAAAGAAGAACCACUAUUUGAACAUGUAUAAAUUAAUAUUGUACGCAAAUAUAAACUUUAAUACCAAUUAGAGAAGUAAAAUAAGAUAUUGGUGAAUCAAAUUUAUUAAAUAAUUUAUAUACAGAAUGGAUGAUAUAAUAUUUCUGAAGUCUUCCCUUGGUUGACCAUAAAAGGAGAAGUCAUUGUUUUGUUUUUUGGUAUUUAUUUGUGACCCCUACACACACAUCAAAAUCACAUAUCAUAAACAUUGAUUUAGAAUUAAACUAUAUAAUAUUAGACCUUUUGUAAUCUUCCUAUUGUUGACCAUAAAAGGAGAAGUCAUCCUCUUCUGUCUUUUCUCCCCUUUAACUCUGUGGCUAAUUAUGUCAAAACAAGGUUUUUUUUUCCCUUCUUUGGUAGGAAUUAAAUUAAUAAAGAUUAUUGUAAUUUAAAAUCCAAUUAAAGUUACUAUUUGAACUGGUAUGAAUUAAUAUUGUUAUGUCUAACAUUUAUAUCCAAUAAUUUUUACUAUAGAGAAAAGAAGUAAGAAAAUAAUAUAUGAUGUAAAAUUGUUAAUUUGAGUCUUAACACAGUCGGUAUUUGUAUGUUGUUUAUGUAAUUUUUCUUUCUAGUUAAAGGUUGGAGAGGAGUUAGGGUGAAGCUAGAAAUUUCUUUUUUGGGAGACGAAAUUAAGCUGUAUAUUUUUACGAGAGUUAAAAUACAAUUUUACCAUUUCAAUAGCUUAUAUCUUUACAAUUUUUAAUGGACUAAAGCAAUAUUUUAUCAUUUUUAGGGCUAAAGUACAAUUUUACUAUUUAUUAACUUAAAAUUUUAUAAACUUAAUUUAAAGGGUUAAAUUUUAAAUUUCACAUUUUAAGGGAAGGGAUAAAAACCCUGCUAGGCUCCCCUCUUGCCGCCCCUGAGAGGAUAUAAAGUAAAGCCAUAAGGGUCUAAAAUAUAUGAAUUAUGAGUACUUAUUACACUUGACCAAUUGCUUUUCUUCAAACAAAACAAAAACUAAUGCACAUGAAAAUGCAAAUUCACAUGCAACCUAGAUAUGCAUUCUAUAUACAAUGCAAUGCAAUAAAUAAAUAAACAAAUAUUAUUUAACUAUGGAGUUGCCUCUCCGUAAGCACCUUUGUUUAACAUUUUUGGCUAGAUGUUUUUAAAUGUUAUUUCACCACAGAAUGAUUCGGAUAACAUCUUGACUUAAUAAAAUUGAACAUUAGGAACAACUUAAAAGUCGAGGGAACUUGAGAGUUUUGAUCCCCUUUUGGUUCUUUAACCAACCAUUCUCACCCCUAAUUAUAAUUCCAAUACAGUAAAAGUACGUGAUUGAGUUGAAUGGAUGGUGGUUGUUUGACAUAACAUGUAGAAAGUGAAAAAAUAGUUAAAAAUAAAUCAAGUAUUAAAACUAAAAGUUUAUGAAAGAAAUAAUUUUUUUUCGUUUCCAGGCUUUUACAAAAUCGUGUAGAUUAUUCAUUUUCUUUCUUUUGCUUUUCUUUUCUGACGAAUAAAAUUUAACAAAUGAUAAAAUUGAUCUAAUGUUAUAUAUUUGGUUUAAAAUUUAUGUAACAUAUUAGUAUUUUAAUUAUUUUUCAAAUGUUAUAUAUUUGUUUUAUAAUGGAAACUAAAGUUCGCAUUUAUUUUUUUUUAGGUUUUUUAGGGUGAGUUUAGAUAGGCGGUGCAUUUAUCUACGGUUAGUAUAAAAAUAAAAAUAACGGUAAUAUUAUAUAUUAUAGAGAUAUUAUGGUGUGAGACAAAAAAUAAAUUAAAUACACCGCACCCUACUAUCUAUCCAAACUUAAUUUUAUUAUUUAAAAAUAUAAAUAUUUAAGAUAAAUAGAUAAGUGGGAAAUAUUGAAUGGAAUAAAGUAAUUGAAGCAAUCAAUUGCUAUAUCAUUUCACACACUUUCCCAAAGCCACAUAAGGGGAGAGAAGGGGCCACGCAGCCCUCCUAAAUAGUUGAAAAUAAAUCAAGUAUUAAAACUAAAAGUUUAUGAAAGAAAUUCUAGUAUUAUCAAUUUUUCGUGAGGCUCAAAGCUAUUUGGAACAAAAAUAAAAUCAAUAUGUAUAGGCUUAACAAAAUAGCUAUUAUCUUGCAUUGUUAUUUCAUCCUAACCUCUUCCCUCAUAACUUCAUCUUCUAUUUUCUGUUCGACUUUAUCAAAAGUCUCAAGAAUUUCCUCCCCGUCCUUUUUAACUUCAACGAAACUUUCUAGGGAAGGAAGCUCUAUCGUGAAUGACUUCGGUUCUAGUCAAAGUAAAAUAUAGUUUUUUUAGGUUUUUCGACUAUUUAUGCAUCAAACUUUUAGGACAUUUUGGACAUCUUCCUAAUGUUUUUGGGCUUUAAUCUGUGAAAUAAAUUUAGAUAAAUCUUUCAAGUCACAUCAACAUUUUAUUAAUGAUUUAAUAAAUUAUUAAUAAAAAGAUUUAGGAUUAAUGUACAAAUUUGUCACUAUACUUCAAUUUGAUUGAUAUUUGAUAUUGAAUUUUAUUGCUUUACUUUAAUUUAAUUGAAUUUUGCCACUAAGAUUUUUUUAUUGAAUUUUCUAUUCAAUUUAAUUUUAAAAUAACUUGAAGGCUAAAUUGAAUAAAAAUAGUUUUAUAUUUCGCUUUUAUAUUUAAUAAUUAUCCUCUCAUCCAUGGCAAGGUGCGGAAAUUUGCAGAAUAUAGAAAUGGAGUGAAGAAAAACCGCUUUAGCAGAGGAUAUGAUUAUGUUAAGGAUAUACUGAAGUGUUUGAUUAUUUUUUCCAGAUGAAGUGUUUGACAUUUUAUAUCACUUAAUUAUUUUGGAUUUAUAUGUGAUGUCAGCCUCUACACGUAUACACGUGAAUGUCACCUAUUAGAAAGAAAUAGUAAUUAAAUUCAUAUUUAAUAUAUAUUUUUGAUCUAAUUUUUUUUAAUUCAAUUUAAUUUUAGUUAAAACGUUUAAAAACAUUUAUUUAAUCUAAUUUCUUUAAUAUAUUAAAUAAAUUGGAUUAGAAAAUAUAUUAAAUAUGAAUGAAUACUAUAUCUCUAAAAAUUAAUAUAUUAUUAUUUUAUUGGUGCUUAAAAAAAUUAAAAUAUUUAGAAUCAUUUUAAUAUAAGUUAUUCCCUUGAUAAUAAUAUUUGGUAUUUACACGAGUAAGUUCAAUAGUUGACAAAUAUUUUAUAUAAGUAUAAUAAAAUAUUUAAAAAAAUUAUUUAGUGACUUAAUUUUUUAAGAAUAUUUGAUAAUUCAUAAAGAAAAUAAAUAAUAUUUUAAAAAAAGAGUGAAAAAUGAUAAGUAGAUAAUAUCUAUUAUCACUUACAACAUGUUUGGAUUAAAAAGAAGAAAAAGGGAGGGAAAAUUAAGUAAAUUGAGGGAAAGAAAAUUCGGUUUCUUUGUUUAAGUUAAGUAAAGUUGUUAAUUUUUUAUUAGAUUUUAUAUUUUAGAUUAUUAUCUCUUCUUCUUCUUUUUUUAGCUUGUAACAGCCUUAUUUUUAUUUUCUAUUUGUUUAGGUUACUAGAAAUAUUUAAUUUUAAAUUUGUUUGAUAUAUAUUUUUAAAAAUUUUAACAAUAUUUUUUAUUAACUAUUUUGUUAAAUUAUUAGGAAUCCUUCAUUUGUAAUUUGGUUAAGAUAUUUUUUUUUUUAGUUUGAUAAAAUAAGCUUAUUAAAAAAAAAGAGAAUAUACCAAUAUAUUAUUGGUUAACAUUUUAAUUAUUAUUUUAUAUAGAAUAUUGAUAUUUUUCUAUAAUUUUAAUUUGCUGUGAUUUAAUUUUGUUAUUAUAUAUUAUUUAUGAACUGUUAAAAUUAAAAAAAAUAAAAGUAAAAUAAUUCAUUUUCUUUCCUUUUCAUAGUUUAGCAAAACAAGUCCACAAGCUCGCCUCAUUUGAAAAAAAAAUUAAAUUGUUUAAAUAUAUUUAUCUAUAUAUAUAUAGGGACUAGUUUUAACAAAUGAAAAACAUAAAAACUACAUUAGAAGAAAUGGGGAAGGGAAGAAAACAAAAGGAGAAGCAGAAGAGAAUGAAAUAUAAAGGAAAGUUAAAAGAACAUAAAAAAAUUAAAUUAAAUUGCUCAAAACGAAAAAAAUAUGGGGAUUAGUUGCAUAAAUCAUCCUAAAAUUUUUGUUUGAAAGAUGAUUUAACAUGUCACAUCAGCUUAUUGUUACACGGUUAACAAAAAUUAAUAGCUCAGUGACUAAAAUGUUAUAACGUGAUAACGUAAGUGACUAAAAUGUAACAUUUCAAACAUAAAUAACUAAAAUGUAAGCAAAAGUGGCUAUUUUAAUAGUUUACCCUAACAUUUAUCCAAACAUAAGCUUAAUGUAAACAUUUUUUCAAUUCUUUUUAUUUUAUUUUAUUUUUUACCAUUAUCCUUUAUCCUUAUUUUAGAAAAAAGUAGAAUUAUUUUUCAAAAUUAAUUUUAAGCAAUACAUCAAAUAGAUUUUAUAACUUAAAUGUAAUAUUUAAUUUUAUAAUAUUUUUUUAUCAAACAACAUUUACUCCUAAGUAAAUAAAUAAAUAAAGGCCUUGUGUAAUUAAGAAAGUUGAGAAAGGGCUAAUCCUCACAUGGUAAAAAUUGGCUACAAUAAUGAAGGAAAGAGAAAAACACUUAGGAAUGUGAAUGAGCAUACCCCACACACAUACUAUUUACUGUCAACGGUGAUGGAUGAAUUGUCUACUAUACAUGGAUUUUUUUUUUUUUUUGGUUCUUGUCCUGUAUUAUUUGGGUUUGUGAUCCCAUGUAAAAUUCCAGUCACUAUUUCAUAGCAUUUAAAAAAAAUUAUUUAUUAUCAAUUGAGUAUUAGCUUGAUUGGUAUAAGUAUUAUUGUCAAUGUAUGAGAACAUAGGUUCGAGUGUAUUAAAGCUUAUUAUCUUUUUAUUUAUGGAUUAGAAAGUGAUUAUUGGUAGUUCUAAACAUUGUGUUGAAAAGAAUAGACAUAAUCAGAAUUUAUGUUGAAAUUUUUCAAAAACAAUUAUUUAUUACACAUUAAUUAAAAGAAAUCUCUUUAUGGGCAGUUCAAGAUUGUGAAGUUAUAAAAUAAAAAAUUCGAUACGAAAACAAAAAUCUCUUUUGUUUAACAAAAUAUUAAUCAUUGAUUGAGUUAAUAUUAUGAGUCAAUCAAACAUCAAUUUAAUCAAGAAAUUACGAAAAUAUUAUUUUAUAAUUAAAAUAAAUUAUAUUAUUUGAGGAUAUUUUAAUAUUUUAUGUCAAAAAAAUCAAUAAAAAUAUGAAUAUGAUGGGAUUUGAAAUAAAAUCUUGAAUUUACCACUCAACCAAAACUUUAUUUUAUCAUAUUUUAUACAUUUUUAUUUUAAUACGCACAAUUUAUUAACUUCAUCAGUUGUAUAUAUAUUAAUAAAUUUAUUGAUUGAGUUAAUAUCACAAGUCAACUCGACACUAACUGACAAUUGACGACAACACUUUGAUAGACAGUUGUAUUGCGUUUAAUUAGUAUUUUUAAUUUGAUGUAUUUAUAUGUUUAAAUUUUAUUUUUGCUCCCAAAUUAAUUUAAUUUUUUAUUUUAAUGCCAUACAUAUUUUAUAUAUUCUUAUAAUUAAUUAUCUUGAAACCAUAUGUUUCAUUAUUUACUUCUUUCUUUUAAGCAUGCAUCUGUGUUUCAAAUCUAAACAUGGUUGAUUAUGUUAAUUAAUGUUACAAAUUGAGAAAUUUAUUAAAAGUAUUGAAAUCUUCACAUCUAACCUACUUUUAUCAUGUUUGGAAGAUGCUAUUGAUCUUCUUCAAGUGGUUUUUCACAAAUAUAUUAUUCUAUCAAUUUUCAUCAACCAAAAAAAAAAGUAAUUGAAGUAAAAUUUACCUUUGAUAUACCAGAUGAUUUCAAAGAGAAUGAUUAUAUCAAUGAGUUUAACAAUUAAAAAAUAUAUUUUUUCAAAGAUUUUAUAAUAUCAAAUAUUUUAAAAAUUUUAUAUAAACUUAAAUAAAUAUUUUAAAUGAUACAAUUCGACCAAUUUUAGUAAUUAGUUUAUAAUUUAGAGUUGUAGAUAAUAUGGCUGAUAUAUAUAAUGUCUUGGUCAAGUCAUGGUUUUAUAUAUGUUUAUUUGUGAGCCCUACACUCGCAUCAAAUUUAGAUAUCACAAACAUGAUUUAAAACAUUACUAGCUGUGAGCAAUUUAAAGAAAUUUAAUUUCUUUUUUACAAUUUUAAGUUAAUCAAUUAUUUGAUUUUUUUUAGGGGGCCGAAAUGAAUUUUUAAUUUUUAAUGGUCUAUAUCUUUAUAUUUUUUAAAGGAUUAAAUUAAAAUUUUUAUAAUUUUAGGGGGGUCAAAGUGUAAUUUUACCUCUACUAAUUUAAAACUUUAAAAUUUUUUAAAAGACCUAAAUAGUAAUUUUUCAUUUUAAGGGGGCCGGAGCCUUACCAACCCUUUAGAUUUGCCUCUGAUAUAUAUAUUAUGUAUGUUCUUUAAAUCAAAAUUCAGUCAUAUUAUCAAUAAUAUUUUAAUAUGGAAAAUUUACUUUUUAAAAAAUUUAUCUUGAACAAACUUAUUUAGCUUAACUCAAUUAAAUUAAAAAAAUUUAAAUCAAAUUAAAAUAAUAAAAUAAUACUCAUUUACUCGAUUCGAUCUAGUACUCACCUCUCAAUAUUACACCUUUUGAAUCUUCCAUGACAGAAGUUAUCCUUAGUGCUCCUUAUUUCCUUUAAAAACAAAGUUUAUUUUUUCCUUUUUUAUAGAAAUGAAUUGAGAUUUAAACUGCAAAAGAAGAACCACUAUUUGAACAUGUAUAAAUAAUUUAUAGUUGAUAGUUAUAUACAGAAUGGAUGAUAUAAUAUUUCUGAAGUUUUCCCUUGGGAGAAGUCAUUGUUUUAUGUUUUUUGGUAUUUAUUUGUGACUCCUACAAAUUAUAUAUAAGAAAUUCUAGUAUUAUCAAUUUUUUGGAGGCUCAAAGCUAUUUGGAUCAAAAAUAAAAUCAAUGUGUAUAGGCUUAACAAAAUAGCUAUCAUCUCAUCCUAACCUCUUCCCUCAUAACUCCAUCUUCUAUUUUCUGUUAGACUUUGAGAGUUCAAUUACGAAAAGGGAAGUGUUUUUUUCGGCUCUUAAUGUAAUUGAUAGUAGGCUAGGAAAUAAAGAUUAUUCGUUUGUUUGUUUAAGCCUGAUUUUGACUUGUUUACUAUAAUUAAAUUAUCACUUCAAUAUAUUUUUAUCAGUUUGAUUUAUGUACUUUCAUUCUAUGUACUUCGUUAUCUUAUUUAUAUUUUUUAGAAAAAAAAUUUUCUAUCUAAUUAAAUGCUGUCACCUAUGAAAAAAUUUAAAAUUCCACUGAAGUAUAUAAAAAUUCAUAAAAAUCGUAAAAAAAGCAUAGAACUCUAAAGAAAUUAAUAAAAUUUUAUAAGCACAAAUUUCCAAAAUUAAAAUUAAAAUAUUUUAUUAAAAUUUUUAAAUUUUUUAAAGUUUCAUAUAUUUAUUGUUUAAAAAUUAUAUCAUUUUCAAAAAAAGAUUAUGAAUUUUUUUAGGUAUUUUAAAAAUAUUUUUCUAAGUCUUAAGAUUUUAUUUUUUGCAUUUUAUGAUUUCUUUUUUGGAUUUUUAAUGGUUUUUAAAAUUUUAUAAUAUUUUCUAAAAUGUUUUAACUAUUUUGGUCGUCCAGGUUUUGUGAAUGAAGCGAAGGGUAUCUUUAUUGUGGUGAACUUUUAAUUUACUCAAAACGAAGUGAUUUAUUACGUUGUGUGAUUUGCAGAUAAGUGUUAAAUAUGAAAUGUGUAAGGCCCAAUAUUUGCCCGGCCCGUAAUAAAUAAACCAAAUCAAAAUUUAAAAAGUCCAAAGUCCAAAAUUACAAAAAUCUAUCAGACCCAAAAUAUAAAUCGAGCCCAUUUAUAAAUGGCCCAGUACAAACCCAAAUUACAGCUAGCCCAAUAGCCAAAAUCAGCCCAGAUUUUUUCAUUUUGCAGAAACCCUAAACAGUUUCAGAGGUACCAGGCGCCGCAGCCAAGCCCUCGCACAUGCCCCACGAACCACGCUUCCAGCGCCUCUCCCCACAUACACCUAGCCACGUCCCUGACACCGUACGGCCGUACCUGCAGCAAACGCAAACGAAAAACGCAGCAGAGAAAGAAAUUGUAUUUUUCAUUUUUAUUAUUUUAAAACGAAGGGAUAUAAAACAGGAGAAACCUUUUGUAUUUGAGGGGGGAUUGAUACGCAAUAUCAACACACGCAUAUUGUAUCAGAAAAACGAAAUCAAUACAGAAGAAAGGUUUUCUUUUUCUCUUUUCUCGAUUGGGUUCCUUUUUCUUUGGCUUUUCUUUUUUCUGUUUUGCUGUUAGCCCUAUACAUAAGCAUAUACAUAUAAUAAAAGGGAAAGGAAGUACUUACCUCGGUGACCCUGUCGUCGUUCUCAUCGGUUUCGUGGAUACCAAAGAGGCUAGGUAUGGUUUUAGCCUGAGAACGGCGCAAGGGGAGAGGGGAAAGGCAAAGUUUUUUUUCUGCUAUUUUUUUAGUGGCCGAAUAACCUUGUUUAGGGUUUUAAAAUUGGUUUUUUUUGGGUGUUGAAACGGUGUCGUUUGGGGCCUGAAUCAGUGGCCACCAAAACGACGUCGUAUUUGUAUACCCGCACGUCCAACCCGACCCGGACCAGCUAGAUUCGCGCGUUUUGGCCUCUGGUGGUAUAUUUUCGCACUUAGUCCCUUGCCUUUAAAGCGCAUCCAAAUCAAUCUUUUUAUUUUUUUAGAUUUUGCCUGAUAUGUCACUGUUGUUUCAUUUUGGUCCCUUCUGCCAAUAUGCGUUUUGAAGGGCAGGGAAUAUUUCCCAUUUAAUCCCUCAUGUAAUGCGCAGGCUUCAUUUUGCCUUUUAAUUUCCUUUUAAUUUAUUUUCUUUUUUCGAUUAAGCAUUAAAUCCAUUUUAAUCUCUAUUUUAGUUUGUUCAUAUUAAUUAAUUUAAAUAUUUUGGUUCUGUUUUCUUUAAUAUAUUUCAGUUUAAUCUAAUGUUAUUUUAAUAAUUCAACUUAUUAGUAUAAAUUCAUUAUUGGUAUUAUUUAAAUCUAUUGAACCAUUAUUCUAAAAGUUUUCUUUCGUGUGUUAUUUUAAGUUUUCAUAUAUUAUUAUUAAAAUUUAAUACUUAUUAUUUUUAUGAUAACUAAAUAUAAUUUGUACAAUUCUAUAGUUUUAUAAUAUUUAUUUUUAAAUUUAUUGGGAUACUAUUAUUUUAUGAAGUAUUUGUUUUUAACUAUAUUUUUCAUUUAUUUCAAACUUUCAUGUGUAUAUAUAUUAUUUUAAACUUAUUUUAAUAUAUAAUUUCCCUUCUUUUAUGUUACUUUUUUUGUUUUUGUUAUUUAAAAAAAAACUUGUUACAUUUUAUUUAAUUCGCUUGUUACCCUUUUUUAAUAUUAACUUUUUAAUUCAUUUUGCUUGCUAAUAUGGAUGUUAGUAUUUGCAUAAUGUAGGAUAUAAAAUUGUUGCUCUUUUGUAUAUGAUAUUGUUUAUUCAUAUAUUAAAUUUUUGUUAUUCAUUAGUGUAUGCUUUAGUUUACGAAUAAUCAAUUCGCAUAGUACAUUAUUAUACGAUCGUUUUUAUUUAUUCAAAAGAUUACAAAUUACAAAGUUAUUCUAUUCAAAAACUUUCAAAAAUACUCGAAGUUUGAAAUCCUCGAGAGAAUUGAGCCCUAACGUAUUGGGUUCCAAUUUUUUUCGUCGAGUCUAAAUAAUUGAACAUUUUUUAACAUACAAAUUUCAAAUAACCCAUUCUCGGGAAUUCAACACGUUGUGUCCUAACGUAUUGGAUAUGACAUGUUAUUUUCUCGAGACGAGGAUUUUAAAAAAAUAAUAAAUAAAGGCAAUGUUCGGUAUUUGGAAAUUUGGUGAAAUCGAACCCUAACUUACUGGGUUUUGAUCUUCUCUUUUGGCCCAAAUAAUUAGAUAUCCUUCUCAAAAUGCAUAGUUUUAAAAAUCAAAUUUAACUUCAAAAUAAAAGGAUUGUAUUUUAAAUUUUUUUUCAAAAUCUCGACAUUAAGACAUUGAACAAUCAAUUUGGUACCAAUUUUGGGCGUAUCGAGGGUGCUAAUCCUUCCUCGUGCGUAACCGACUCCCGAACCUAUUUUUUUGAAUUUCGUAGACCAAAACCGUUGUUUUAAUAAAAUCAAAUCGUUUAUUAAAAACAACCACUUUUUAAGGUGAUCCGAUCACACCUUAUCAAAAAAAGAUUGGUGGCGACUCCCUUUUUCCGUUUCCGUUUUCAAAAUCCAAGUCGACCCCGUUUUCAACAAAGAAAUGGUGUCUACAAAAUGAAUUGUUGAAUUUGAAAACAAUGGUUUAAUAUUGCAGGGAUUUCCAGCAUUAUCAUAAAUUUUAGUGAAUUUAGAGACGAAAUCAGAGUUCCACUGAGUUUUGUUCAAAUCUGGGGAUUUCAUCGUCAUAUAGGGUCGAUUUGGAUAUCUAGGAUACAAAGCUUCAUAUCAUUGAUGUUCGGUGGCCAUGGGUAUAUGUUGAUUUUGAGUUUAUCGUUGCCCCAUAAGUUGGUUGCACUAAAAAAAAAGGGUAUUACCAAUGCUAAAAAUUGUUACUAAAAUUUUAUUGUAGCAAUAAAAGUUGUUGCGGGAUUGUUGUGUAUAUUUUCGUUGUUUAAAGUAUACGCAACUCUACUCAAUUAUGUAAUAUCUACUCUUAAAUAUGGUCUAUUUAACUACAUAUUUAAGCACAUCAAACACAAAUUAAUAAUUUAGAAAUAUCAAACCAAGAAUUAAUCACACAUAAUUGGGAACAAUAAACUAAGUAUUUAUUGCAUAAAAUAAAAAAAAUGAUAGAAUCCAUCAUAGGGUUCAUUUCCCUAGGUAUUUAGAAAAUUAGUUCAAGCUUGAAAAUAAAAACAUCCAAGAUAUAGUAUAACCGAAAGAAAUAAAAAAAUUCAUGAUAAUCUCCUAGGAAAUCAACUGAGAAUCUUCAAUCUUGACGUAAAUUUGUUUUCAAGAUGGCUUCAAUGGCAUUUUUCGAGUUGCUUUCUUGAAUAUUUUAUGACGGCUCUCUCAUAUACUUUCUUAAUUUUUCACAUAUACGUUUCAUAAUGCCCCAAAAAUCUAAAAAUCUUGAUUUUACAUUGUUUGUGUGGCAAUUCCAUGAAAUUGACAUAGCCUACCACACACUCGUGUGGGUCACAUGACUAUGUGGUUUGCUCAUGUGAAAUUUAGAAAAUGUAAAAGAUUCCCUAUGCACCAUCUAUUAUGAGUCUACUAUAUGCUCAAAUAUGUAUGCAUCCGUAUAUUGCAUAUAUUGUUGGGAUGUUAGGCAAACAUUUAAGCAACUCUAGUAUAGGCCAUUAGAUAACAACCAAGAGGGUUAUGAGGUAUCUUUAGAAAACAAAAUAUUACAUGCUCACAUAUUGGAUGUUUGAUAAGUUAGAGAACAUCAAGUAUACAAACUCCAAUUUUGAUGAAAUAUUGAUGCAAAAUUUUGUCACUAGAGUGCAAAUUGUAACAAUAGUUAGUAGUCUUUUAUUCCAAUUGUACAAGCCCAAAUUUGCCCGAGGCCCAAAAACCCAAUACACCCAAACCUCAGCCUAAUUACAAAUUUAACUCAGCAGACCCAACCCAACACCGAUGACCAAACCUCAAUCCAAUAGCACCUAGCCCAACAAGAUUAAACCCAAACCCGAGGCCCAAUAUCCAACCCAAAAAAAAUGAAGGCCCAGUAGCCCAAAAUGUUUGAGACUUUUUCAGAAAAAAUGAAACCCUAGCCUACUGCCUAACCCUAGCCGCCUCUGCCUCCUCUGACAUCUUCUAGUCUGGCUGCCGCUCGUAGCCUCUGCCACCGCCACCUCUGACGCCGAGCCGCCCAUCAAUCACCUACUCCAUCAACGUCAACACCUGCAAACAAGAGAAAAAGCAAUAGCAAAUAAUAGCAAAAAUAUUGUAAAAAAAUGGCUAUAAAGCCAUAACCACCACUGUAAACGGGGUUCUUCCCCCCCCGAUUUUUGUAUAAAAAAAUAUUAGCAGGGAAAUAAAGGAAAAAAGAUUGAAGGUGAUUUUUUCUUUUCUUUUCUUUUCGGUUUUGUAGACCUGUUUUUCUGUUCUCUUUUCUUUUUUCGUUUACACGUAUGUAAAUAAAGGUAGUAAAUAAAAGGAUAGAAUGAAGACUUACCCAUUUCGCCUUUCGGUUACGCCGCCGUCGGGGUCUGCUCAUAAUUGAAAUCGGCCCGAAAGAUCGAGUUAGGGGGUCCUUUGUCUUAAUUUUUGGGCCAAACGAAUCUAGCCUUCGAUUGGGUCUUAAAACGGGGACUAGAAUGCCCAUUUUGCGCAACGCCGGCCACCGUCCACGGUGGCGCUAUGGCGGUGCUAAGAAGACCCAAAGGCCGAACGUUUGAGAGGGAUGAGGAAAGGUUUUUUUUUGUUUUUUUUUUAAAUUAGUGGCCGAAAUGUUUUUUUUGAAGAAAAUAUGGCUUAAAUACCAUUUUCGAAAUAACAUCGUUUCAAUUUGGCCCUCCAGAUGCCAAAACGGCGUCGUUUUGAAAGGGGCCGGUUCUACUCGACCCGUUUGGCCAGGAUCCGCGUGUUUUAGCCUUGAGGGGUUAUUUAUGCGGGGAGUCCCUCCGCUUUUGCAGCGUAGCCGAUAUGAUCCUUUUUGGUCUUUUUGUUAUUUGGCCCGCGAAUUUUACCUCUAUUUCGAUUUGGUCCUUAGACCAUGUGCUGCCCCUAGUCGAAACGCAGCAUUUUAGGACUGGGAAAUAUUUCCCCACAAGUCCCUCACGCUUUAAGCGCGUUUUACUUCAGUCCUGCACUAUUCCUUUUGUUUGUUUGCAUAUUUAAACCCCGAAGUUCGUUUCAAGUUUUAAUUUAGUCCUUUUGUAUUUUGUUUAUUUUCUUAUUAAGUAAUAAAUUUGAUGUUAUACUGUUAUUAUUAAUUAUAAUAAAUAUUAUUUGCUCAUUUUUACCUUUAGAAUUUCAAAAUUUAUCAUAUAUAUUUGUAUAUACUUAUUUUGAUAUUUUGAUAUUUUAUAAUUUAUAUCUAUAUAUCUAUAUACAUAUUUAUACAUAUAUACACAUACCUAUAUGUUUUAUAUUUUCAUAUAGUUUUUAUAUACAUAUAUAUUCUUAUAUGCACAUGCUUAUGUUUUUUUAUACUUUAUAUAUAUACACCUAAACAUGCAUAUUUUUUUAUAUGUACAUACAUUCAUAUAUUUUAUAAUUUAAGUACAUAUACAUAUAUAUGUACAUAAACUUUAUUAUUAUUAUUUUUUUUGUAAUUUAUAUUGUUAUUAAUUGUUUUAUUUGAUAUUUAUUUAUUUGCUCAUCUUUAUUUUUAUGAAAUGCUUUAGUUCUUUUUACAUUAUUUUUAUGAAAUGCUUUAGUUCUUUUUACUUACUCAUUAUUUCAUGUAUAAUUGUUUUUUUUAUAUAUGUGUCCUUUUUAUUGUUGCUCGUAUUAUUUUACUUACAUUAUCAUAAUUGUCAUUCCAUUACGUCAAUUUUCACCCAAAUUCAAAAAAAGAAAUUUUAAAAAUAUAAAUAAUACUCGGUAUUUGGGAUCUUCGAGAGAAUCGAGCCCUAACGUAUUGGGUUCCGAUUUUCUUCGUUGAAUCUAAAUAAUCGAGACUACUCUUUUUUAUAUAUAAAAAAACAUAAAUAAAAGCUCAUUAUCGGGAAUUCAAUACGUUGUGUCCUAACGCAUUGGAUAUGAUACAUUGUUUUCUCGAGAUGAGGAUUUUUCUAAAAAAAUAAAAAUAAGGCAAUGUUUUGAGUUUGGGAAAUUCAAGAAAACGUGCCCUAAUGUGCUGGGUUUCGAUUUCUCGUUUAGCCAAAUAUUCUCUUAAAUCUUAAUCUAUGUCAUUUAAGUUUUUUUAGGAUCGUAUUUUAAAUCUCUUUAAAAUUUUCAGUUUUUCGACACUAAGAUAUUAAGUGAUCAACUAGGUACCAAUUUUGGGCGUAUUGAGGGUGCUAAUCCUUCCUCGUGCAUAACCGACUCCCGAACCCAUUUUUCUGAAUUUCGUGGACCAAACUUGUUGUUUUAAUAAAAUCAAAUCAUUUAUUAAAACAACCACUUUUUGAGGUGAUCCGAUCACACCUUAUCAAAAAAGAUUGGUGGCGACUCCCACUUUCGUUUUCAUUUUUCAAAACCCAAGUCGACCCCGUUUUAUCAAAAAAAUGGUGCCAACAGCUUGGCGACUCCACUGGGGACCCAAGAACGAGAGUCAAGCCACGAGUUGAUUAUUUUUUUAUUUUUUUGUCGAAAAUCAAAAAAUUAGUUUAAACAUACGAUCCUUUCGUUGCAUUUCAUUCGUCUUUAUUAUGAUCUUCAUCAUUAUAGUUUAUAAUUGUUGUGUUAGUUUAAGUUUUGGUAUCAAUUUGUACAUUGCAUUGCAUAACCGUUGGUCACACCCUUCUUAGUGGGAGUGAGAAACUACGCUUUCGUGAGGUUUUCACCUCUGCAUAGGAUAGUGAAUCGCUUCUGGUAUAUAUCCGUACCUAUGUUUUCGUGAGAUUUUCAUCUCCGCAUGGCCAUAGGGAAAUGUAUUCCCCUGAACUGAACUCAGUCUGCAUGAGCCUAUAAUGGGUCAGGACCGAGGAAUCUGCUGGUUCAAGUACCCCUUACUUUAGAGCCGAACCGCAUGUAAUGAGCCCUAGGAGCCUACCCUAGGUAGAACCACACCAAAUACCUAGAGGUCACCUGAAAACUUGGUUUAAAUUUACGAUCAUUUUGUUGUAUUUCGUCCGUUUUGGUAUGAUUUUCAUUACUUCGAUUUGUAAUUACUCUAUUGGUUUGAAUUCUCGAUAUGUUUCUGCGCAUUGCAUUACAUGACCACUCAGUUACACCCUUUUAAGUUGGAGUGAGAAGCUACUCCUUUGUGAGGUUUUCACCUCCGUGCAGGAUAGUGGAUCACUUUUGGGAUACAUCUGUACCUAUGUCUUCGUGAGAUUUUCAUCUCCGUGCAGCCAUAGGGAAAUGUAUUCCCCUGAACCGAACUCGGUCCGUAUGAGCCUAUAAUGGGUGAAGAUCGAGGAAUCGGCUGGUUUGGGUACCCUUUCUUUAGAACCAAACCACAUGUAGAAGACCUUAGGAGCCCACCCUAGGUAUAACUACUUUGAACCCCUAGUAGUUACCCGAAUAGGUGCUCUUUUUGUUUUUUUUUCUUGUUUACUUUUGCUUUGUACUAACCUGUUUUGUUUUGGUUAUAACUGCAUUGCAUUUUCAUCAUAGAAAAGAGGUGUUGAUUCAAAUUUGAUUGCUAAAUAGAAAAGCUUGUCAUGGAAAACGAAUUUCUUGAUAAAGUAGAAUAUGAUGCGACUGUCUGAUUAUGGACUAAUUAAACACAACAAGAGAAGGUUAGAAGUUUGUGGAGGAAUAUACGACUAUGCUUCACUGCCUGAGGAUUCAAACCGACAAAGAUCAUUCGAGAGUGGUCACGAAACUAAAGAGCAUCGUAAGGGAGCAAUGGGUCGUGGCUCAGAUCAAUCAAAAAAGAAGAUAGUAAAGGUAAAUUUUGGGAAAUUCGCAAGAUUUGAUCCUAACAUCUGGAUAUGAAGAAAAGAUCAAUGUCUUCGCCAGGAAUAUGGGGGCAAAGCAGCAGAUGUAAUCUAUUUUAUGUAAAGAAAUUUAUUCUCUAGAAAAGUUGUUCUAAUGGAAUUGAAUUAGGAAUCAAUGCCUCUCUUUCUUUUUGCAUUCAUUUCACGCAUUUGUAUUAUAUAACAUCACAUGCAUUAAGGACCAUCAAAAGACUCUAAUUGAGUAAAAUGAUUUCAGCUAAUCUAGAGAACCAACACCCUUACGGAAUCCGAGCAAAAACUAAAAGAAUGGACCAAAGAUUGGAGAGAUUAAAACAAAGGCAAAUACAGAUGCAAGAGCAAUUUACCAAAUUUCAACAAGAUAUGAAGGAUCAGAUGCUAGAAGUCCAAAGAAAUCUGAUGAGUCAGUUAACCCAGUUAUUGGAUAGAGGGUUAGAAAAAGGAAAAAACCCAGUGGUCCAUUUUGGAGAUAAUGAUGAAGACCCUGCUCAUUUUCUAGGUUUUACCCCAACAAACAUCCAAGCACAACUAAAUGCAUGUCCACAAAAGGUAAAUGUUAACAUCUGACCACAAUACCAGACCAGUACCUCGACACCGGUGAAUUUCACGACAGGCUCAGGUUACAACCUUAGGGGAAAUCUAACUAGUCCCGUUGUCCUUGAUGAUCUAGCGGGAACAAAACAGGUGAGAGUAGAGCUCUCAAAACCAUUUGGAGAUCGUUACAAACAGAAAGGGCAAGAGUGGAAUCCUCAAAUCAAUACUUCGAGGGCCCCGAGGAAGAGGAAAGAUGACGUGAAUGAUGUGAGUAGGUAUAAUGAGGGUUAUUCAAAGCUGAUUACAACAAGCCAGAAAAGGACGGUUGAUUCUAGCCAUCAGAUCUCCCAGAGCAAGAAUUCGGCACAAAGUAAAACAUUGAGAAGUCCAAAUUUGUACCAAUCUCAAUGUCAUUUCGGGAGCUGUAUCAUAAUUUAUUUAACGCACACAUUGCCUCCCCUUUCUACUUGAAGCCUUUACAACCUCCGUACCCCAAAUGGUACGACACGAAUGCACAAUGUGACUAUCAUGCAGGAAUUACGGGGCAUUCAAUAAAAGAUUGCGUUGCCUUUAAAAAGGUGGUUGAAAGGCUCAUCAGUAUAGGCAUUGUCAAGUUCGAUACAAAAAAAUCUGCUGCCUAAUCAUAUUGAUAAUCGGGGUGAAUGCGAUGAAUGAGGAAAUAUUGGGAAACGUUCAAAUUAACGCUGUGCGAAGAAACAACUGAAGAAGGGACCUUGUUAGAUAUUUACCCGUACAUACUUAGGGGUGUUUUGAGCAAUGAGACUGUGGAAGAGAUCCCUGUAUUUUGUAGAGCUAAUUCGGAGUAAUAUCCAAAACACGCUUAUUGCUUUAAGCCUAGGGGCAAUAAGAAUCCUUUUGUGAGAUAGGCUUAUGUCCAACAUCUUUAUUUCAAUAAAAUGCAUCUUUGUUUCUCACUUCGAGCAAAUUUUUAUUCUUAGAUUCUUUUAUUCUUUGGAUAUACUUUCGUCCCUAUAAUAGGUCUUCAGAUAUCAAUGAUAUGAGCGACACUGCUAUUGACUCAGAACCUCCUUUUGAGCAAGAUAUGUGUCCAGAUUAAACUUCAAAACUUUGGAGAUAACUAAGACUGUAGCUUAUCUCUUAGUUUGUUAAGGACGGGAGAACAAGAUCCUACCUUACAAAGAAUCAAUGGAAGCCAUGGCCUUUCUCUAGAUGGGGCACGGAUGUCAUUAGGCCAAUCUCGUCUAAGGUUUUUGACGGCUAUCUUUAUAGUCAUCGAUUACUUAACUAAGUGGGCAGAAGUUGCUUCAUAUGUCAAUGUCGCAAAGUUAACAGUCUGUAAAUUCUUGAAAAAUCAUAUGUUAGUAUGGAAUGUCAAAAAGGAACAUAUCUGACAAUACACUAAAAGUGAACAACGACACAAUAUCAGAAGUUUGCAGUCUGUUCAAGGUUAACACAUUUUGCCCUAGAAUGUACGGUGCAGUGGGAGCAAAAACAAAACAAAAAAGAGGAAAAAUUACUGCAGGGGCAACACAUUGGCUUAGCGCAGUUUUGCUCAUUGAGGUCAAGAUUCCUUCCCUCCGAGUGUUGGAUCAGAUCCCGAUUGAAGAGAAAUGUUCAAAGUUAUCCGUCUGGGUCAAAUACACCAAAAAUAAAAGAUGCGAGCUCAUCAAAGAAGGUUCACCCUAAAGAGUUCCAUGAAUAGAACCUAACAUCGAAGAAAAUCCUCCCCAUACAAAAGGGACUUUAUAAGAAAGAGGAUCUGGAAAAGUGUUGAUUUCGACCAGAAAGGAUAGCAAGGACUUACCUAAUCCUACGAGUGCGGAUUCAAUCAAAGAAUGUAAAAAAAACAAACAAACAAACGAAAAGAAAAAGAAAAGAAAAGAAGAAUGAAAAAAGAAAAAGGAGAGGCCAAGAUGAAAACCCGCAAAGGGCGCCUUGAGACCAAAGGGGUUUUGAAUUGAAAACCCAGGAAUGGGUAGUUCAAAUUUUGAUCAAAGGUGGGGCAUGCGGUGGCCUUGUCCUCUCUGAAUUAGCAAGAAGGUGAGACGCUACAUCUCAGGCUAUCAACAAAGUCUUUUAGGACUUCUAGACACAUAUCAAGUUCAAAAGAGUCCUCAAGAAGCUUAUACAGAAAAGCUCAUGUUGCGAUAUCUGGGGCACCUGUUUCCAUUUUAUUCAUUUUUAUUUUGGCAAAAUAUGCCAUCUUGAUUAAUUUAUUCUCAUUUCGUAUCUUAGCAAAUUUACUAUCUUGAUUAUUUAUUUCGAGCUUUGUUCUCAAUAAAAUUUCAUCUUGUCCAUUGUGAUAAUCCUUUUCAUCUUAUUCAUUUUGAAUCUUAGCAAAAUUCGCUGUUCUGCUUAAUUUAUUUGUUUAGAGCUCUGCUCUCAAUAAAAUUUCAUCUUUCCCACUAUGAUAAUCUUUUUCAUCUUAUCUUAGCAAAAUUUGUUAUCUUGAUUAAUUUAUUCAUUUUGAGCUUUGUUCUUAAUAAAAUUUCAUCUUAUCCAUAUUGAUAAUCUUUUUCAAGCAUUUUACAUUGAAAUAACGAUUAAUUGACUGAAUAUUCAAGCAAAAGAAGUUUUGCAUAUUACUCUGAAAGUUUCUAAAUAAUACAGGAACCUGAAAUAGGACUAUUGUUUAGAGCAUACCAAUAAAGGGUGAAAUGUCUAAGAAGGAAAAGUCUAAAUUAAGACUAUCCUUUCGAAUUUUGUUGUCCAAGCAUGAAUUGAACAAAACGAAAAAAUGUCGAGAUGGUGACAAAGUUUCAAUGAACAAACGAGCAAUGAUCACCGAGUUAUAAAAAGAGGUUUUUGGAAGAAAAAAUUCCACAAUCGUGCAUAAACAUUUGGUAUGACACCUUGGGAAUGGUGUAGAAGACUAAAGAGAUUCAGAUACUGUAUCCCUGAAUUACAGUGGGAGAGGAUUGAGAAAAGUCAGAUCUUAUACUCAGUGGGAGGAAGAUGGCUCGAAUUUUAUGCCCCAAAAUUACCAUGGACUUAACCUUGAAGAUUACAACGGAUUGAACUCUGAAGAUUACAGUAGGGGGCAAUCUGGCUAAGUAAGAGAUGAGUGUUACCAGUCGAGCAAGAUAGCAUUCUGAUAUGUUGGUAAUAAAACCUUAUUGAAUAACGAGCAAUAACAACCCUAACAUUAAAAAGGGAUCAUUCUCAUGACAUUCUGCAUUCAUGCAAAUAUAAUUCACAUACACACCUAGUUAGGAGCAUUUGAUUCGUUCUGAUCAUAAUAUCCUAAUCAUUAGGCAUAAAUAGAUUCAUAAAAUGGACUUUACAGGUCAUGUUCCCCAGAGAACAUAUUAAUAAAGUUACCCAUACCCCUGAAGUUGCAAUGGGAUGAAUUGAAGUUGUCAUGUCAAGUCUUAUCUCUCAGAAAUUAUAGAGGAGUGGACUAGAGAUAGCAGAUCUUAUCUUCCUGUAUUUGGCAGCGAAGUAGAUCGUAGAUAGCAGAUCUUGUCUUCCUGUAUUUGGCAGCGAAGUAGAUCGUAGAUAGCGGAUCUUGUUUUCCUGUAUUUGGCAGCAGAGUAGAUCAUAGAUAGCAGAUCUUGUCUUCUUAUAUUUGGCAGCGGAGUAGAUCGAAGAUAGCAGAUCUUGCCUUCCUGUAUUUGGCAGCGAAGCGUAGAUAGCAGAUCUUGUCUUUUUGUAUUUAGCAGCGAAGUAGAUCGUAGAUAGCAGAUCUUGUCUUCCUGUAUUUGGUAGAGGAGUAGAUCAUAGAUGGCAGAUCUUGUCUUCCUGUAUUUGGCAGUAGAGUAGAUCGAAGAUAGCAGAUAUUGUCUUCCUAUAUUUGGCAGCGAAGUAGAUUGAAGAUAGCAGAUCUUGUCUUCCUGUAUUUGGCAAUAGAGUAGAUCGUAGAUAGUAGAUCUUGUCUUCCUGUAUUUGGCAGUGGAGUUGGUUAAAAAUUACAGAUUCUAUCACCUUAAGCAGUAGUGGAGCAGAUUAAAAGGAUGGAUCUUAUCUCUUCGAAGUUGUAGUAGAGCAGAUCGCAUCAAACUUUAUUGAAGCUACAAGUCUUAUCUCACUGAGGUUGCAGUAGAAUAGACUGAAGAUAGCAUAUAUUAUCUCUCUGGAGUUACAGUAGAGCAGACCACGAUGAUUUUAUCUCCCUAAAGUUGCAAUGGAGUGUACCAAAAUAAUAAAUCCUAUACCUCUGAAGUUGCAGUAGGUCGGACUAAAUCUACCAUAACAAAUCCUAUCUCCCUGAAGAUGCAGUGGAGCAAAUUGAAGACCGACUACAAGUCUUAUCUCCCUGAAGUUGUAGUGGAGCAGACUGUCGAUAACGGAUCUUAUCAUAUUAAAACCUUAUCUUCUUGAAGUUACGUGAAGCAGGUUGAAGCAACAAGUCUUAUCUCCCUGACGUUGCAGUAGAGUAGAUUAAAACCACGAAUCUCGUCCCCCUGAAGUUGCAAUAGAAUGGAUUGAAGCUACGAGCUGUAUCUCUCUGAAGUGCAGUGGAGUGGAUUGAAGCAACAAGACACAGUGGAUUGGAAUGAGGCUACCUGAAGAAGAGAAGCACUAGAAGAAGUCAAGACUCGGCGAGACCGGGUAAAUUUGGUCUUUCUUGGUCUUUGCUCUAUUCUCGUUAUACGACAACGAGGAAAGAGGGGCAGCUGUACAAGCCCAAAUUUGCCCGGGGCCCAAGAACCCAAUGCACCCAAACCUCAGCCUAAUUACAAAUUUAAAUCAGCAGACCCAACCCACCUAAACACCAACCCAACACCCAUAACCCAAACCUCAAUCCAAUAACACCUAGCCCAACAAGAUUAAACCCAAACCCGAGGCCCAAUAUCCAACCAAAAAAAAAUGAAGGCCCAGUAGCCCAAAAUGUUUGAGACUUUUUCAGAAAAAAUGAAACCCUAGCCUACUGCCUAACCCUAGCCGCCUCUGCCUCCUCUAACAUCUUCUAGUAUGGCCGCCGCUCGUAGCCUCUGCCACCACCACCUCUGACGCCGAGCCACCCGUCAAUCACCUACUCCAUCAACGUCAACACCUGCAAACAAGAGAAAAAGCAAUAGCAAAUAAUAGCAAAAAUAUUGUAAAAAAUGGCUAUAAAGCCAUAACCACCACUGUAAAUGGGGUACUCCCUCCCCCCCCCCCCCCCCGAUUUUUGUAUAAAAAAAUAUUAGCAGGGAAAUAAAGAAAAAAAGAUUGAAGGUGAUUUUUUCUUUUCUUUUCUUUUCGGUUUUGUAGACCCGUUUUUCUGUUCUCUUUUCUUUUUUCGUUUACACGUAUGUAAAUAAAGGUAGUAAAUAAAAGGAAAGAAUGAAGACUUACCCAUUUCGCUUUUCAGUUGCGCCGCCGUCGGGGUCUACUCAUCGUUGAAAUCGACCCCGAAAGGUCGAGUUAGGGGGUCCUUCGUCUUGAUUUUUGGGCCAAACGAAUAUAGCCUUCGAUUGGGUCUUAAAACGGGGACUAGAAUGCCCAUUUUGCGCAACGCCGGCCACCGUCCACGGUGGCGCUAUGGCGGCGCUAAGAAGACCCAAAGGCCGAACGUUUGAGAGGGAUGAGGAAAGGUUUUUUUUUGUUUUUUUUAAAUUAGUGGCUGAAAUGUUUUAUAUUUUCAUAUAGUUUUUAUAUACAUAUAUAUAUUCUUAUAUGCACAUACUUAUGUUUUUUUAUACUUUAUAUAUAUAUACACCUAAACAUGCAUAUUUUUUUAUAUGUACAUACAUUCAUAUAUUUUAUAAUUUAUAAUUUAAGUACAUAUAUAUAUAUACAUAAACAUUAUUUUUUUUUGUAAUUUAUAUUUUUAUUAAUUGUUUUAUUUGAUAUUUAUUUAUUUGCUUAUCAUUAUUUUUAUGAAAUGCUUUAGUUCUUUUUACUUCUCAUUAUUUCAUGUAUAAUUUUUUUUAUAUAUGUGUCCUUUUUAUUGUUGCUCGUAUUAUUUUACUUACAUUAUCAUAAUUGUCAUUCCAUUACGUUAAUUUUCACCCAGAUUCAAAAAAAGAAAUUUUAAAAAUAUAAGUAAUACUCGGUAUUUGGGAUCUUCGAGAGAAUCGAGUCCUAACGUAUUGGGUUCCGAUUUUCUUCGUUGAAUCUAAAUAAUUGAGACUACUCUUUUUAUAUAUAUAUAAAAAAAACAUAAAUAAAAGCUCAUUAUUGGGAAUUCAAUACGUUGUGUCCUAACGCAUUGGAUAUGAUACAUUGUUUUCUCGAGAUGAGGAUUUUUCUAAAAAAAUAAAAAUAAGGCAAUGUUUUGAGUUUGGGAAAUUCGAGAAAACGUGCCCUAAUGUGCUGGGUUUCGAUUUCUCGUUUAGCCAAAUAUUCUCUUAAAUCUUAAUCUAUGUCAUUUAAGUUUUUUUAGGAUCGUAUUUUAAAUCUCUUUAAAGUUUUCAGUUUUUCGACGCUAAGACAUUAAGUAAUCAACUAGGUACCAAUUUUGGGCGUAUCGAGGGUGCUAAUCCUCCUCGUGCGUAACCGACUCCCAAACCCGUUUUUCUGAAUUUCGUGGACCAAACUUGUUGUUUUAAUAAAAUCAAAUCAUUUAUUAAAACAACCACUUUUUGAGGUGAUCCGAUCACACCUUAUCAAAAAAGAUUGGUGGCGACUCCCACUUUCGUUUUCAUUUUUCAAAACCCAAGUCGACCCCUUUUUAUCAAAAAAAUGGUGUCAACAACAAUAACAAUAGAAGCACAUCAAAGUCAAAGCACAUAGGCUUUAAGUUCAUUGUUAUUAUAAUAAAAGUUCAGGGUGGUUAGAUGUCUAUAAAGUAUAUUGAGACGAACUCCAUGAUUACGGAUUCGCUUAUUAAGUGACUACCACCCAAAGUUUUUUUCCUGAGCACACUGUUGAUAUGGGUGUAAUGUCAUUUAAGGAUAUUUGAUUUUAGUAGGAGUUUGUACUUUUAAAUGUUUUUAUGUUAUAAACACAUUUUCAAUUAUUUUAGUUUACGAAUAUUAAGUUUAUUUUUUAUAGAAAUAAAGUUUAUUUGGUAAAGUUUGAUCUCACUAAGGUUAAUAAGGACCAGUUAGAAUAUGCAUGUUUGAAUCAUAUUACAUAUAAUUUUCAUGUUACACAUCCAUACUUGAUCUAUGUCAUUUGGUUGUGCUAAUAUAUGUGAUUAGGGAUGGAUUUAAUUAUGAUAUAUGUAACAAAAGUUGCAUUCGUUCUAUGUUAACAUAAUUAAUGGACGAGAUUGUUCGAAAUAUCUUUUGGAUAUGAUAGUAAAAUUUUGAGCUCAUAAGAUUAUAUAAUGACAUGUAAUUAUAAAGUAAUCGGUAUAUAUCAAAAGUCUUUCCCACAUUCAUCAACUAGAAAUCAGAGCUCACCAAAUGUCUAUUCUUUUCAAUCUGAACCGACUCUACAAUCACUUAUUGCUCAUGGUCAUCAGCCUAUAAACCCAGGAGCAUUGUUAACUUCUAAAUCCAAAACACUAAUAUCAGCAUCCAACCCUACAAUGAUAGUAUUAUUGACUCAUUUAAACAAGUUUCCUUUGUCAAUCUAUAUUCCGUAUUUGGUAAUCUCCAGUAUGAAUUCAGAAUUUAGGAUAGCUGGAAUAAGAAUAGCAGCAAAGAUGCAAAGGGAAACGACUUGUAGGAGGAGGAAGAACCUUCUUUUGGGUACAGACCUGUAUAGCAUAUAAUAGGAUGUCCUGUAUAAUGUCACGAGAGCUAGUACCGUUGCCAAGCAGUAAUUAGUAAUGCUGAGUCUAGAAUAGGAAACGGAUCCAGGAGUCGAAAGAGAGAAAAAAUACUGAAGUUCGAGUGUCCGUAUGGAAACAGCAACUAAAAGCAUGUAACAGGUCCCAAACAAGGAAAGUGUUAUGAGAAUAAACAAGCAGAUUGAACGGCUGGGUAGGAGAUAGGCAGUUAAAACAGUUGCUGCCCAAAAGGUUAAAGUGUUGUAUAACCAAAACAUUGUGGACACGUCUAGUAUAUUUUUUAAAUCUUCUUUUUCAGCGGGUGGAGGACUUGGUACGGGUCCAGUGCUGGUUGAACCUAAAGAUGCGUCAUACAUGAGAUGGAAAUUCUGGGAAUUUGAAAUGGUAUCAGGCUGCUUUGGAGGGUUCAAAGUGGCAGUAUAUGUGGCUGUUAUAAUUAGCACUGUGACUACUAAAAAUGUGUUACGCAUCUCAUAUGGGAUUCCCUUCUUUCCACGACUUGCUAUUGUUGCAAAAUUUUGAAGAACUGACACCUUUCCUUUUAAAUAUGCGAUGUGGAAUGAAGAGAUGGAGGUUUUGGGAAGCGAGGAAGAGGAACCACUCAAACCUCCUGCUUUGCUUAUCAUGUCUUUAAUGGACUCCUUAUAGUCCACUUUCUCUUCAUCCAAUGUGUAUUGUGAUGGGAUAUCAAGUGCAGUCAAUCCCUCCGCAUUUUUGGCAUUGAUAUGGUCACCACACAAGCGUUCCAGCAGUACUUUUACCACCUGUUAAUUAGAAUAUUCAUACAAGUAACCUUUGAGUAUAUAUAUACAUAAAAAAUUUCACUAGCAAAAUUAUCAUACCUGAGGUCUAUUUCUGAUAGCAGCAACAUGUAAAACAGUGUUGCCAUCAAUGUCUGCCCAACUCAGUAGUUCUUUCUCCCAACGGCUGGCAGCUUUAUGGCGGCUCCUUAUAAGCCACCCCACCAAGACUUGGAAAGCUUCAAACCUGUCAUUUUUUACGGCAAGAUGGAAAACCGUCUCAUCUCGAACAGUCAUAUCUUCAAUAGCCUCGGGGCAAACCUCAAGGAACUUGAUCAAAAAAUCAACAUUUCCAUUUUGAACCACAUCAUGCAAAGGAGUCAAGCCCUCCCGCCCUUUGACACGAACAAGGCCUUCAUCAAACCUGAGGAGUCGAAGCACUGUUUGAGUUUUUUGAUUUUGCAGAGCCAAGUGCAUGGGGCUAAACCCAGCUUGGUUUAGCUUUCUUGCAAACGAUGGCUUUAAGUUGAUCAUCUCCAUCAUAAAAUCAAUAUGCCCUGCAGAGGCUGCUACAUGCAAAGGAGUAUGGAAAAAAGGUACAUCAUCGAUACGCUGUAAAGCAUAUGGAUCAUUCAGAAUUAACUCAUACAAGAUGUUUAUGUCUCCUGUUUGUGCAGCCCCCUUCAUCUUCUCAUCCAUAGCAAGGUGCGGAAAUUUGCAGAAUAUAGAAAUGGAGUGAAGAAAAAACGCUUUAGCAGAGGAUAUGAUUAUGUUAAGGAUACAAUGAAGUGUUUGAUUAUU